Molecule: non-coding RNA, 74 nt
Organism: Ilyonectria robusta
Lineage: Eukaryota; Fungi; Ascomycota; Sordariomycetes; Hypocreales; Nectriaceae
Source: the annotation of a RefSeq genome assembly
ACCCCCAUGGUGUAGCGGUUAAACACCUGGGACCUCUUUCAGAGAGGCUGUCGGUUCGAACCCGGCUGGGGGCA